UACGUAGGGUGCAAGCGUUGUCCGGAAUUAUUGGGCGUAAAGAGCUCGUAGGCGGUUCGUCGCGUCGGCUGUGAAAUCCCGAGGCUCAACCUCGGGUCUGCAGUCGAUACGGGCGGACUGGAGUUCGGCAGGGGAGACUGGAAUUCCUGGUGUAGCGGUGAAAUGCGCAGGUAUCAGGAGGAACACCGGUGGCGAAGGCGGGUCUCUGGGCCGAUACUGACGCUGAGGAGCGAAAGCGUGGGGAGCAAACAGG
Molecule: ribosomal RNA, 253 nt
Filed under: uncultured bacterium
Lineage: Bacteria
Description: partial 16S ribosomal RNA
Rfam family: Bacterial small subunit ribosomal RNA
Source: RNAcentral